Molecule: long non-coding RNA, 3843 nt
Filed under: Sus scrofa (pig)
Lineage: Eukaryota; Metazoa; Chordata; Mammalia; Artiodactyla; Suidae
Description: lncRNA (ENSSSCG00000052753.1)
Source: RNAcentral
GUUUUAAAUUCAUAUUAAUUGAGAUCCAAGUAUAUUGUUAUUGACAGUGCCAAUAAGUAGGAAGGACCAAGUCUGUAAACCUCCAUAGCUGAGCAGGAGAAACUGAUCCAGGUUUCAGUGCAGCUCUGAAUAAUUAGCAAACACUGAGGACCCAGCUUUUGCCCUGUGGAAAGACACUCGAUGACAAAUAACACUUUUUAGAGUUUUAGACAGGCGUAGGGGAAGGAUAUGCUAUUUACCCAGGGGGUGGUAGCAUAUGACGUCUACCACCCCAAGGAGAUGUUGCAGAUGGAAAAUAUUAUUAAUUCCAGAGGAGUCUCUAGACAUAUUUACAGAUGAUACACCCAUGGAUAUUGAGUGCUUCUGCAACAUUCCAGAAUCUUUGGACUUUGAUGUCAUUCACUAGUCAUUCUUUGAUCAUGAGCCUGAUGUACAAUUCUUUACAUCUUAACAUCUUAUCUUUUAUGUUCCAAAUUCAGGGGAACUUGAGGUAAUGAAAUAGUCAUGCAUGUAUUUAUUCAUGUAGUCAGCAUUUAUUCAGCACCUGUUUGUAGGGGAUUAGGCUAGGCAGUGAUUAAUAAGAAAUGAAAGGCGUUUUUCUUAUAAAGAUUGCUAUUAUCUAGUAAAUAAUAAUAGUAAUUAUUAUUUGCUCCCCCAGGCUCUGUAAAUCCUGGUUGAAAUGGGAUGACAUUAACAGUAGCAACGCAGAUUUUUCUGACUCUCAUCUUUAAUUACAGGACCUCUGCUUCUGGAAAAGGGUUGGGCAUUUAUUCCUAGAGUCCCACGUGGUUUCUGCUGGGUACCGCACACGGCCCCCAUUUUCUUCCCCUGCUGCUCUGGCUUUCUUCUGCAUAGGCUUCCAGUCUUGGGAUACUGCUCUGCCUCUGGGGCCCACGGCUAAGAUGCUCUCCAUGGCUGAGUCUCUUCUGCCGAGCAUCACUGCUGCUGAUGUAUUGGGAUUCCUUUGGUGGAAACUGUGUAUCACACUCUUUGGAGUUCUCAGGAUGCCAGUGCUCAUCAACAUUCCUGGCAGAGGUAGAUGAUAUAUGUCUCUCCCAAUUUUGGGUCUCGUGAUGAAGCGGGGUUAUUUGUGCCAACUGUCUUACAGAGCUCUACUGCUCCAGUUCUUGUUUCAUAGCUUUUCCUCCCUGAUUCUUCCUCCAUCUCUUCUCCUUCUCUCCAUUCCCCUUUGCCAUACAGUUCAUUGGGGCGGGGGGUGGAGGGCAGUGAGGGCAAAGUGGACAAAUCAAAGUGACGCUUUUCAACUCAGAAUCAUGCUCGCCCUCAAACCACUGUUGUUAAACUGGCUUUUAUUUCUGAAUGCUUUUCCCAAUAGGACAGAAUUCUCUUAGUUCUUGUAAAUAGAUGUGUAGUUGGCCCAGUUUAUCAAACCUGCAGGCAUGCUCAAAUAUCAUAGGUUGAAGUCCGUUAAUAAUCAUUUACAUUUAAAUCUCAUCACAAAGGAUUUUCAUAGACAGUAUCUCAUUUUUCUCACAGGAGCCCAGCAUCAGAUAUAUAGCUUCAGUUUGCUGUGCACACUACAGAAUGUAGCAUUCAGAUCUCUUUACUCUCUGGCCUCCACCUAUCUCUGUUAGUUUCCUCUCUAUCUCUCCAUCUCUCCAUGUGAAUCCUAUGCCCCAGUCUUAGAAGGAGAAUCAUAUGCAAUCUUCUGAAUUAUCCAUGCUCCUUUUUACAUUUGUGUCUUAGAUUGGAUUUCCUGGAGACAAACUCUGAGAUGGAGAACUUCUUGGGAGAGUCAUCAGAGAGUCACAGAGAAGUGAUGAAGGCAGAAUUGGGCACUGGGGGCAGCUGAUGUGCAAUGUGGUUGCGACCAAGGUAUCAGACAGUUCUGCAGAGGAUGUAACAGUGGGCAAGACAGUUCUCUGAGGCUGAGGGCAAUUCCCAGUGAGGAACAAAGAUGUGAGCCGUUGGCAUCUAAUAUUACCAGCAAUGGGAGAUGGGUGGUCCAGCCCAUGAGAAGGGCCCAGAUGGAAUACCAGAAUAUCCAUUGUACAUAUUUUCCUUCCACUUUAAUGUUCUUACCCAGCUUAAUUGCUCAAAAUCAUGCCAUAUUUUAAUUUCUCUAGUUUUUAAAUCAUUUUUCAUCUUAAUACAAUUAAUUUUCCUUGGAGUUUGUAAUUGACACUUUGCCUCUUCCCACUAUGACAAAAUAAACGUAUGUCUUUAACUGCUAAACUUAACUUGCUUCUUUGGUUAAAAAUGAAUAGAAUGGGAUACACUUUUUUCCUUAGAAAUAUUUUUUUGAAUCUGCUGACCCCCUGUUCUAUUUUGGAACAAUUGUUUUCUAGUCUUGUUGUGCAGCUUUCCUGCUGGGAUAUGUUUUCAUUUGAACUCCUGCCUUAGAAAUAAUAUUUCUUAGAUUCCACAUCUUAUUCCUUGUAUUUGUGUACAACCUCAAGUUACUUUUUAUAAAGGAUUAGUAGAGAUAAACUUCUUGUCUAAAAAUGCAUCGUUUUGCCCUGAAAUAGAAUUUUUGGUUCAAAUAAUUUCUACUCAUAAUUUUAAAGGAUUAUUUCAUUGUCUUUUAGUAGCUGGUGUUGCUAAUGAGAAGUUUUGAUGCCUCAAUGAUUCUUCUUCCUUUGCUGGUAACCUGUUCUUUUUUGGUGACCAGUUUUAGAUCUUCAUAUUAUCUCCAGUAAUCAGAAACUUCAUUGUUAUCACUAAGUAUGAGUCUGCUCUGUUAGACACUCACGGUUGCUUUCAAUCUCACAACCUCUGUCUUUUCUCAGCUCUGGAAAUGUGUCUCCAAUUACUUUUUCCCCUUCAUUUUCUUAGUUUCUUCUUGUAUCUUAUUUCUGAAUCUCUUCAAUUGAUUCCCUGUGUAUUUUACAUUUCUUUGUAAAAAUUUAUUUUUUUCUCAUCUUUUCUAUGACAAUCAUAUUUUUAGUUACCAAAAUUUCUUAUAUUUGAUUGCUCCUUUUUAUGAUGAUCAACUCUUGUUUUACAAAUGAAGCUUUUCCACACUUGUGGCAAGGAAGUUAAAUUUUUCACACUCCAGAAUCUCUCAGUCAUUAGAAUGUACAAGAGUGUGUCCAAUGGCUUGAAAGAAAUUCUCCAAAACCAGGUCCUGAGAGAGCUGUGGGAAUCUGGAUGGAACACUGAAGUUAUACCCUCUUGAUACCAUUUUUGACUGUGGUGUGACAGUCUUUUAUUGAGUCUUCUGAACAUGAUGAAAAUGAGUUACAUCUCAUUUUAAACUUAAGAUAUUUUCUGGGGUUUCUUGGUUUUUUUCAUGACUUUUCAGGCAUUCUCUGGGCCUCACUUACUGGCCAGAUGGAAUUGAACUAGACAAGGCAGUAAAAAUGGUCAAAGUUAAUUGGAUUUAUUCAAAGGAAGGAAAUUAAGAGCUGCCAUUACAUAUAGAUUGGGAGCCUUAAGAGAGAAAGAAGUUUUAUUGUGAGUUGGAUUUUAUGAGAAGUCUAUAGAAUGUGCUCAGUUGUUAGAGGUUUUUACACAAAGAAUGAUGAGAAGCUCCAAUUUAAGGUAUGUAUUCUCCCUUACCCAUAAUCUUCAUUGUUGAAGUGGUUGCAAACAAAUAAGUAUUUGCUAUAAAUAAAGGAUUAAAGACUGAGAAAUCAUUUCCAACACUAUGAGAUGACAGUGCUAAUGAAUCACUUCUUAAGAACUUUAGGGGUUCCCAUCAUGGCUCAGUGGUUAACGAAUCCGACUAAGAACCAUGAGGUUGCAGGUUCAAUCCCUGGCCUUGCUCAGUGGGUUGAGGAUCCCGUGUUGCUGUGGUUGUGGCAUAGGCCAGCAGCUGUAGCUCCGAUUCGACCCCUAGCCUGGGAACCUCCAUAUGCCACAGGACCAGCCCUAGAAAAG